GCGAAUGGCUCAUUACAUCAGUUAUGGUUCCUUAGAUCGUACCCACAUUACUUGGAUAACUGUGGUAAUUCUAGAGCUAAUACAUGCAAAUAGAGUUCCGACCAGAGAUGGAAGGAAUGCUUUUAUUAGAUCAAAACCAAUCGGUGGCGGGCUUGCCUUGCUCACCGUUUGACUUGGUGACUCUGAAUAACUUUGUGCUGAUCGCACGGUCUCGUACCGGCGACGCAUCUUUCAAAUGUCUGCCUUAUCAACUGUCGAUGGUAGUUUCUGCGACUACCAUGGUUGUUACGGGUAACGGGGAAUCAGGGUUCGAUUCCGGAGAGGGAGCCUGAGAAACGGCUACCACAUCCAAGGAAGGCAGCAGGCGCGCAAAUUACCCACUCCCGGCACGGGGAGGUAGUGACGAAAAAUAACGAUACGGGACUCAUCCGAGGCCCCGUAAUCGGAAUGAGUACACUUUAAAUCCUUUCACGAUUAACAAUUGGAGGGCAAGCCUGGUGCCAGCAGCCGCGGUAACUCCAGCUCCAAUAGCGUAUAUUAAAGUUGUUGCGGUUAAAAAGCUCGUAGUUGAAUCUGUGUCCCACACUGUCGGUUCACCGCUCGCGGUGUCCAACUGGCAUGUCUGUGGGACGUCCUACCGGUGGGCGCAGCCCGUCAAAAGGCGGCCCAACUCAAAAUCCUACCACGGUGCUCUUCACCGAGUGUCGAGG
Molecule: ribosomal RNA, 710 nt
Filed under: Nosopsyllus laeviceps ellobii
Lineage: Eukaryota; Metazoa; Arthropoda; Insecta; Siphonaptera; Ceratophyllidae
Description: SSU rRNA
Rfam family: Eukaryotic small subunit ribosomal RNA
Source: RNAcentral